Molecule: non-coding RNA, 201 nt
Organism: Oryza glumipatula
Lineage: Eukaryota; Viridiplantae; Streptophyta; Magnoliopsida; Poales; Poaceae
Source: Rfam
UUUAAGUGUAAAGUUUUCGUUUCCAACUUUGCUCAUCCAUCUUAUUUAAAAAAAUUUUAUAAUUAGUAUUUUUAUUAUUAUAAGAUGAUAAAAAAUAAAUAAUACUUUAUAAGUGCGACUUAUGUUUUUGAAUUUUUAAAAUAUUUUUUAAAUAAAACGGACAGUCAAAGUUAUACCUGAAAAAUCAUAACUGCACUUAAU